RNAcentral lists this transfer RNA (81 nucleotides) under uncultured organism. Its description in RNAcentral is "tRNA-Asp". The record is from RNAcentral. RNAcentral also lists the same sequence under 1 other name.
CGGCGGGCGGCCCGGGCCGCGAGGGCCGGAUGCCCGUCGGGCAUCCCGUCGCCGCCGCCGCUCAGCGACGGUGUCCGCCGA